This 506-nucleotide ribosomal RNA is filed under the name uncultured bacterium. RNAcentral's name for it is "partial 16S ribosomal RNA". It matches the Rfam family "Bacterial small subunit ribosomal RNA", at positions 29 to 523 of the family's 1533-position model. The record is from RNAcentral.
AUUGAACGCUGGCGGCAGGCCUAACACAUGCAAGUCGGACGGUAGCACAGGGGAGCUUGCUCCUCGGGUGACGAGUGGCGGACGGGUGAGUAAUGUCUGGGGAUCUGCCCGAUAGAGGGGGAUAACCACUGGAAACGGUGGCUAAUACCGCAUAAUGUCGCAAGACCAAAGAGGGGGACCUUCGGGCCUCUCACUAUCGGAUGAACCCAGAUGGGAUUAGCUAGUAGGCGGGGUAACGGCCCACCUAGGCGACGAUCCCUAGCUGGUCUGAGAGGAUGACCAGCCAAACUGGAACUGGGACACGGUCCAGACUCCUACGGGAGGCAGCAGUGGGGAAUAUUGCACAAUGGGCGCAAGCCUGAUACAGCCAUGCCGCGUGUAUGAAGAAGGCCUUCGGGUUGUAAAGUACUUUCAGCGGGGAGGAAGGCGAUGUGGUUAAUAACCGCGUCGAUUGACGUUACCCGCAGAAGAAGCACCGGCUAACUCCGUGCCAGCCGCCGCUGUAA